CUCUCUAUGUGUUUUCACAGAAACCCAGGCCCAGGGAGAACAUUUACCCCUCUUCCUACAUUUCAGAGCUGAAAAUGUCGGAAUUGUCAUGGUAAUGCCCAUAGUUGAUGUGACAGAUACUGAGAAGGAAAAACACGCUUGCCACAUGUGAAAACUGCCUGGUUGGUUCUGCUCUGAGUGCCUCUCUGGAGGGCACAUUGAUGGAUUUGACAAUCACUUAAUUCUACUAGAGCCUGACCUUCAGUCUGGAAGUCAGAUAUACGCAGCAGAGACGUAGAUGAUAGCCGCAGGCUGCUGCUGGUGGGAAGCUGACAGAGUCCACUUUAAAGGACUGCCUUCAGUACCAUCUACAUUCUUCUACCUGGGACUGUGUGUGGCCAUGCGGACAGGCUCUCACCUUCACUAAACAAUUCAACUGCUGAAUUCCAACUAUCACGACAACCAUUUACACCAGUAAAAUGAACCAGAGAAGUCAGUGUAUCAGAACCUAAGACGGGAAAACUCUAUUGGAUUUCCUUUUACCUUAACUCUUAGUCCCUGCUUGCAGCUGAACCUCGGAGAGCAAUCAGCAUUCAAUGUUCUGUAGUAUAAGGAUCCUCCAGCAGAUCAUCUCUAGAGCUAGCUCUGACUUCUGCUCCCAGAGUCACCAUGGUGGUUAAGUAUGAAUUUGAUGGUCAUCUGGAAUCAGCUCCUUCUGGAUGCACCUCAUUUCCAUUUCCUAAGCUUGGUGUCCUCAUUCAGAGAAGAAAAGAAAACAAACCAUGGAAUCCAAUUGGUAUUGCCUAUGUACUCUUGGGUGUGUGGCCUCCCUCCUGGGUGUUCUUUACAUGGCAUACCCUUAAAGGAAUGGACUCUCCCUCUCCUGGCAGCUGUCAGUUAACAAUGGGUCCUCAGCUAAACGUGGAGCUUAGUGCAUACCUCUCCUUCCAUGCCGUUUCCAGCAGUUCUUCUAAGAAAAUAAAACUGAACAUUUACAGCCUCAAAAGUGAUAAAUCUCACUCUCUCCUCAUGGCUGCAAUUCCUCCGUGGUUCCGGCUGAUUUGAACCUCUCUCCAUCUCUGUGCUCCUUUCCCUGGCUGGUGGAAGUUCUGCCCCAUUCCCUUUUCUGCCCAGCCAUUGGGUGAUCGUCAUUUAUUGACAAGGCAGAGAAUAAAUGAAUUUAGUGGAAAAAGUGGGGACUCUACCGAACCUUAAAACAGACCCAGCUUUCCUCCUUCCUGUGGAUGCUCUCCACCUCUCACUGGAGCCUCCAUGUCAGCCACCUAUUCAUGGAGGCACUCUCCACCUGAGAACCCCCUGCUACACCUGCCUGGGAUUCAGAAGCAAGAAAUACACACUGGAAAAAAAAGAUGGCAUUGUCAAAAACUGGUGCUGCUCAAACUGGAUGGCUGCAUAAUAGAAAAAUGCAAAUAGAUUCAUGCUUAUCACUUGCGCAAGCUCAACUCCAAGUGGAUCAGAGAUCUCAAAACAAGAUAUGCUGAGCCUGAUAGAAGAAAAGUGGGGAAUAGUUUUGAAUCAUCGGCACAGAAUUACAUGUGUCUGUGUUGUCUCCCCAGAGGCAGAGACGGAGAUUGACUGAACCACCAUUCAGAUGGUGCUAUUAAAUUCCAGGAGGUACUUCUGGUGGUGAGUUCUCCAUCACCACUCAGCAUUCCUAGCCAUCAGUCACUGGUGAACGAGGAGAGAGAGGGUGGGGAGAGGGGACCUGACAUACCACAUUCUGUUCAGCUCAUGACUUAGAGCUGAACAGCAGCGUGUGCUGGUACAGGGGCAGAUGAUCUGAUUCUGGCACUGGGAAUCUGUGUUUUAGGCAUCACUUUUAUAAUUUAAGUAAAACUGAGGAUUCAAAAAC
Molecule: long non-coding RNA, 1852 nt
Filed under: Mus musculus (house mouse)
Lineage: Eukaryota; Metazoa; Chordata; Mammalia; Rodentia; Muridae
Description: predicted gene 29571
Source: RNAcentral